CUCCAUUAAUGACAAGUCCUCUUCAUUCUGACUCUCUUCUGAUUUCCCUGGCUUGCUAUUUCUCCCCCCUGAUACUCUCUUCACACCGUACUUAGCUUUCCAGAGGUGAAAGGGGGUUCAGCGUAAGUCUUCCUCAACAUCUUCAGUGUAACCAGUGAAGGCUUGCCAGAGUUCACAAUUUCGUGUCCCCUUCCACCCUGCAAUGGUAUCAGAAGUCUGACAGCAUGCUCAAUGUACUACACUGAACAAAAAUACAAACGCAAUAUGUUAUGUGUUGGUCCCAUGUUUCAUGAGGUGAAAUAAAAGAUCC
Long non-coding RNA from Oncorhynchus tshawytscha (Chinook salmon), 310 nucleotides. NCBI's taxonomy places the organism in Eukaryota, Metazoa, Chordata, Actinopteri, Salmoniformes, Salmonidae. The record is from Ensembl.